This is a long non-coding RNA of Strongylocentrotus purpuratus (purple sea urchin), 741 nucleotides long. RefSeq lists it as uncharacterized. The transcript is spliced from 4 exons. Lineage: Eukaryota; Metazoa; Echinodermata; Echinoidea; Camarodonta; Strongylocentrotidae. The record is from RefSeq and is a predicted model, not a curated record.
GUAUAGGACUACAUGCACUAUGCGAUGUGUAUGUAAUGUAUUUGAAUUCAGAGUAAAAAAGCCGUUGCAUCAAGUAUCAUCCUCCUGAAUACUCUCGUUUUCUCCUGCAAAUUUACAGUAUGGGCAUCCUUUUUUAACAUCUUUCGUCAAAGAAGUGGAUUCAAAGCACAUUGUGGCCUCAGUAUAUUGAUGUGAAACCAUGCAGAAAAUGCUACUCUCUCUCAACCUUGUGGAUGUUCCCUACUUCCCUAAGGAUCAGCAGCCUCUUGAAACAGUUGAAGCCAUUAUCGAAUUCCUUGCGUCUAUGUUUUCUGGAUCUGAAAGCAAAGCAUAAUGCCAGAGAUUCCACCCAAAAGCUAACCCAUGAGUCCAAGCUGAAGAGGAAUAUUUCCAAAUCGAUGGCUCCACUAAUCCGAUCGAAUUCCUUGCGUCUAUGUUCCCUGGAUCUGAAAGCAGUGCAUAAUGCCAGAGAUUCCACCCAAAAGCUAACCCAUGAGUCCAAGCUGAAGAGGAAUAUGUCCAAAAUUACAUGUAGAUCUACACUCACCCGAUAGUUAAACUGCUAGAAAAAAGGUUUUUUUUUCACUUCAUUAUAAUUUAUAGAGAGAGAUUGGGGGAGAGGUGAGGUGUAGCCACAAACCUGAAUGGCUAAGCUGUGGAACUGAAAUUCCCAUUCAUGUCACUUACAAUUUUAAUGAAUUACAGGGUGUACGAACUGACAUAAUAACAGUUUGAGUAAAA